Molecule: ribosomal RNA, 685 nt
Filed under: Ruegeria atlantica
Lineage: Bacteria; Pseudomonadati; Pseudomonadota; Alphaproteobacteria; Rhodobacterales; Roseobacteraceae
Description: bacterial SSU rRNA
Rfam family: Bacterial small subunit ribosomal RNA
Source: RNAcentral
CGAGCGCGCCCUUCGGGGUGAGCGGCGGACGGGUUAGUAACGCGUGGGAACAUACCCUUUGGUACGGAAUAGCCUCUGGAAACGGAGAGUAAUACCGUAUGAGCCCUUCGGGGGAAAGAUUUAUCGCCAAAGGAUUGGCCCGCGUUAGAUUAGGUAGUUGGUGGGGUAACGGCCUACCAAGCCUACGAUCUAUAGCUGGUUUUAGAGGAUGAUCAGCAACACUGGGACUGAGACACGGCCCAGACUCCUACGGGAGGCAGCAGUGGGGAAUCUUGGACAAUGGGGGCAACCCUGAUCCAGCCAUGCCGCGUGAGUGAUGAAGGCCUUAGGGUCGUAAAGCUCUUUCGCCUGUGAAGAUAAUGACGGUAGCAGGUAAAGAAACCCCGGCUAACUCCGUGCCAGCAGCCGCGGUAAUACGGAGGGGGUUAGCGUUGUUCGGAAUUACUGGGCGUAAAGCGCACGUAGGCGGACUGGAAAGUUGGGGGUGAAAUCCCAGGGCUCAACCCUGGAACUGCCUCCAAAACUAUCAGUCUAGAGUUCGAGAGAGGUGAGUGGAAUUCCGAGUGUAGAGGUGAAAUUCGUAGAUAUUCGGAGGAACACCAGUGGCGAAGGCGGCUCACUGGCUCGAUACUGACGCUGAGGUGCGAAAGUGUGGGGAGCAAACAGGAUUAGAUACCCUGGUAGU